Molecule: transfer RNA, 87 nt
Filed under: Hyphomicrobiales bacterium
Lineage: Bacteria; Pseudomonadati; Pseudomonadota; Alphaproteobacteria; Hyphomicrobiales
Description: Rhizobiales bacterium (bioreactor metagenome) tRNA-Leu
Rfam family: tRNA
About the family: Transfer RNA (tRNA) molecules are approximately 80 nucleotides in length. Their secondary structure includes four short double-helical elements and three loops (D, anti-codon, and T loops).
Source: RNAcentral
GCCCCUGUGGCGGAAUUGGUAGACGCGACGGACUCAAAAUCCGUUGCCCGCAAGGGCGUGCCGGUUCGAUUCCGGCUAGGGGCACCA